Molecule: transfer RNA, 74 nt
Filed under: Opitutales bacterium
Lineage: Bacteria; Pseudomonadati; Verrucomicrobiota; Opitutia; Opitutales
Description: tRNA-Pro
Rfam family: tRNA
About the family: Transfer RNA (tRNA) molecules are approximately 80 nucleotides in length.
Source: RNAcentral
CGGGCCGUAGCGCAGUCUGGUAGCGCGCUUGCAUGGGGUGUAAGAGGUCCCGGGUUCGAUCCCCGGCGGCCCGA